Molecule: long non-coding RNA, 569 nt
Filed under: Gossypium raimondii (Peruvian cotton)
Lineage: Eukaryota; Viridiplantae; Streptophyta; Magnoliopsida; Malvales; Malvaceae
Description: long non-coding RNA (GRAI_LNC000181)
Source: RNAcentral
CCAAACUUCGUGCUCCACUCGAUUCUCAAACUCAGAGGUUCUUCAAACAGCUUUCAUAGUUCAUACUCUGUUUUAUGUUCUUAGCUUAACAAAUAGGCACCCACACUUGCAAAGAAAUGGAAUCAAAUGUUUCUUCCAACUCCACCAAGAAGCAAAACCGAAGCCUCCCACCAAAGAGGGGCCAAGUUAAGAUGAGAAUCCUCAAGACUAUCCUAAAAUCGGUUAGUUCAAUGGCGUCGACGGGGACGCCCAAGGAAAGUGGCGCACACCUUAGCUCAUCAUCCACAACACCGACGGGCUACCUUUCUGAUUGAUGAAAUGAUACCUUAUUUUCAAUAUUUUUUGUACAAGGUGGGUCUAAGUGGCCUUAUAAAUUUCUCCUCUUUUUUGGGUUUACUUAGGCAAUAUAAUUCAGUAGUAAUUUUCCCUCCUUUUUGUACACCAGUCAUGUAGUUUGAAUGUUUGAUAAAAUAGGUAUCACCGUAAUUUUUGGUUUUUUCAAAUGCAUUUAUAUUUUAUUUGAUAUCCAAAUUGGAAUUGGCUCAAAUUCAAGUAGCAUGAUUUGAGUG